GACGAACGCUGGCGGCGUGCUUAACACAUGCAAGUCGAACGGGCCCGCUCUCUUUUUUGGGGGUGGGUUGAGUGGCGAACGGGUGAGUAUCACGUGAGUAACCUGCCCCCUGCUCCUGGAUAACUGCUUGAAAGGGCGGCUAAUACGGGGUGUGCCGGCUGGUCCGCAUGGGCCUGGUCGGGAUAGUUUCAUCUUCGGGUGUUUCGGUGGGGGAUGGGCUCGCGGCCUAUCAGCUUGUUGGUGGGGUGAUGGCCCACCAAGGCGGUGACGGGUAGCCGGCCUGAGAGGGUGGGCGGCCACACUGGGACUGAGACACGGCCCAGACUCCUGCGGGAGGCAGCAGUGGGGGGUAUUGCGCAAUGGGCGGAAGCCUGAUGCAGCGACGUCGCGUGAGGGAUGGAGGCCUUCGGGUUGUGAACCUCUUUCUCCGGUGGUGAAGGCCCUGUCCGUUGCGGCGGGGUUGACGGUAGCCGGGGAUGAAGCGCCGGCUAACUACGUG
This 499-nucleotide ribosomal RNA is filed under the name uncultured bacterium. RNAcentral's name for it is "partial 16S ribosomal RNA". It matches the Rfam family "Bacterial small subunit ribosomal RNA", at positions 28 to 507 of the family's 1533-position model. The record is from RNAcentral.